RNAcentral lists this unclassified non-coding RNA (253 nucleotides) under uncultured Acidobacteriota bacterium. RNAcentral describes it as "uncultured Acidobacteria bacterium contains 16S-23S intergenic spacer region". It matches the Rfam family "Bacterial small subunit ribosomal RNA", at positions 524 to 776 of the family's 1533-position model. Lineage: Bacteria; Pseudomonadati; Acidobacteriota. The record is from RNAcentral.
UACGGGGGGGGCAAGCGUUGUUCGGAAUUACUGGGCGUAAAGGGCGCGUAGGCGGUUCGCUAAGUCGGAUGUGAAAACUCUGGGCUCAACCGAGAGCCUGCAUCCGAAACUGGCGGGCUAGAGUUCUGGAGGGGAUAGCGGAAUUCCUGGUGUAGCGGUGAAAUGCGUAGAUAUCAGGAGGAACACCGGUGGCGAAGGCGGCUAUCUGGACAGAAACUGACGCUGAGGUGCGAAAGCGUGGGGAGCAAACAGG